GAGUUUGAUCUUGGCUCAGGACGAACGCUGGCGGCGUGCUUAACACAUGCAAGUCACGGGGGCUCGCAAGAGCAACCGGCGAACGGGUGCGUAACACGUGAACAACCUGCCCUCGUGUGGGGGAUAGCCGGGCUAACGCCCGGGUAAUACCGCAUACGUUCUCUUUGGGGAGUCCCGAGGAGAGGAAAGCUCCGGCGCACGGGGAGGGGUUCGCGGCCUAUCAGCUUGUUGGCGGGGUAAUGGCCCACCAAGGCGACGACGGGUAGCUGGUCUGAGAGGAUGGCCAGCCACAUUGGGACUGAGAGACGGCCCAGACUCCUACGGGAGGCAGCAGUGGGGAAUCUUGCGCAAUGGUCGAAAGACUGACGCAGCGACGCCGCGUGUGGGAGGACGCCUUUCGGGGUGUAACCACUGUUG
Molecule: ribosomal RNA, 417 nt
Filed under: uncultured Gemmatimonadota bacterium
Lineage: Bacteria; Pseudomonadati; Gemmatimonadota
Description: bacterial SSU rRNA
Rfam family: Bacterial small subunit ribosomal RNA
Source: RNAcentral